RNAcentral lists this transfer RNA (90 nucleotides) under Alphaproteobacteria bacterium. RNAcentral describes it as "tRNA-Ser". It matches the Rfam family "tRNA". Rfam says of the family: Transfer RNA (tRNA) molecules are approximately 80 nucleotides in length. Their secondary structure includes four short double-helical elements and three loops (D, anti-codon, and T loops). The record is from RNAcentral. Lineage: Bacteria; Pseudomonadati; Pseudomonadota; Alphaproteobacteria.
GGAGAGGUGGCAGAGCGGUUGAAUGCGGCGGUCUCGAAAACCGUUAAAGGUGCAAGCCUUUCGGGGGUUCGAAUCCCCCCCUCUCCGCCA